AUUGGCUCCAUUACACCUAAUGUCAGCCAAAAACCACACACUGUCCGUUCAGCAUGUUUGCUGUUCUUUAGAACUGAACUCUUGUCUGUUCGCUGAAUAUCUCAGAGUUGUGAUGGAUGGGUCAUCUCUCUUCAGCUCAACACAAGAUUGGUUGCUGGCCCCUUCCUGUGAAAACACCAGUUUCCGUUUGCUUUUCUUCUCAAACUAGUCGGAUAGACUUUGUUAAUCCCUGACCUGAACUUUACUGUGAACAGUUUUGGACUGCUGUCUUGAACUGGAUGCGAGACCCGUGAGCUGAUCCAAAUGCCACUGUGUGACUAUCUUCACAUCUAUAAAUUAAGAAAUAUGAUGAAAAUUUUUUAAAGAAAUUCAAUCAUGGCAGAAGAUCUGUGGAGCGUCACAGACCAUCACCGAGAAUUCAACUAAAAGAAAAAGGAAAAUGCCAAACCAAGAGAGCAAGAGACAAUCUUCAGGACCAGGAGAGAAACAGACGCUGAGACUAACCAGAAGAAACAGCAUUAAUAGCGGAAUACCGAACUUUUGUGAUGAUCCAGACAGUUUUAUUCUGAGUGACUCACAGACGAGGCUUUGUGAGAAAAAUUCACAUGAUCGAGAGGGCACCUCCCUGUCAUGCACGUGCAUUAAUAACUUUCACACAAGCACUUGAAUAUGAAUAAUAAGCCACAUUUUGCAUAUGCAUUACAAAGUAAAUCAUUGUUUACAUGCAGUUGUCCAAAAUAAAACUAAACAAGAUUUGUAAUGAAGAUAAAACAAAUAAGAACAAAUGCUGCGCGUAACACUCAGCAUCACCCACGCCACGCAAAUCAUGCACUCGUAUAUUUUACACACCUGCAUUUACAGUUUUUUCAAUACCUUUAAAAACAUCCCUAAACUCUGAACACAGUUAGCACAACAUCCGUCUCUGUACAAUUAACACAUUUCUUGUUGCUUUGACACAAAAUGCAUCCAGUUAACACACAUUUAAAAUGCUUGAACUUCUUUUACACACAAGCUCAAACAAGACCAAAAUGUAAUUUUACAGUCAAAUUUACCAAUGCUUUCACAUUUACAGAUAACAUCUUUAAGACUAACUUACAACUAACUUACAAACCUAGAAGUUUGGGAGGAUUAGAUCACGUUUAUUUAUUUACUUUUUAUUCUACUGUGGCUUUUUCUGUUCUGUAAAUUCUGUAUAUAAAUUUUAUAAAUAAAUGACAGCUAUAUUGCAUUUUUUUCUUGUAUUUUUGUUUUAUCUUGCAUAUUAGUUUUUUUUUCCAGUUGCAAAUAAAAUCUUUACUGCAGCAAUUCUGUGUCUGU
Long non-coding RNA from Carassius auratus (goldfish), 1317 nucleotides. RefSeq lists it as uncharacterized. The record is from RefSeq and is a predicted model, not a curated record. Lineage: Eukaryota; Metazoa; Chordata; Actinopteri; Cypriniformes; Cyprinidae. The transcript has 5 exons.